CUGGCUCAGGAUGAACGCUGGCGGCGUGCUUAACACAUGCAAGUCGAACGGAGUUAAGAGUGGAAGUUUUCGGAUGG
This 77-nucleotide ribosomal RNA is filed under the name Anaerocolumna xylanovorans DSM 12503. Its description in RNAcentral is "16S rRNA. Bacterial SSU". Lineage: Bacteria; Bacillati; Bacillota; Clostridia; Lachnospirales; Lachnospiraceae. The record is from RNAcentral.